Molecule: ribosomal RNA, 497 nt
Filed under: uncultured bacterium
Lineage: Bacteria
Description: partial 16S ribosomal RNA
Rfam family: Bacterial small subunit ribosomal RNA
Source: RNAcentral
GAUGAUCGCUGGCGGCGUGCCUAAUACAUGCAAGUCGAGCGAACGGACGAGAAGCUUGCUUCUCUGAUGUUAGCGGCGGACGGGUGAGUAACACGUGGAUAACCUACCUAUAAGACUGGGAUAACUUCGGGAAACCGGAGCUAAUACCGGAUAAUAUUUUGAACCGCAUGGUUCAAAAGUGAAAGACGGUCUUGCUGUCACUUAUAGAUGGAUCCGCGCUGCAUUAGCUAGUUGGUAAGGUAACGGCUUACCAAGGCAACGAUGCAUAGCCGACCUGAGAGGGUGAUCGGCCACACUGGAACUGAGACACGGUCCAGACUCCUACGGGAGGCAGCAGUAGGGAAUCUUCCGCAAUGGGCGAAAGCCUGACGGAGCAACGCCGCGUGAGUGAUGAAGGUCUUCGGAUCGUAAAACUCUGUUAUUAGGGAAGAACAUAUGUGUAAGUAACUGUGCACAUCUUGACGGUACCUAAUCAGAAAGCCACGGCUAACUACGUG